This 243-nucleotide unclassified non-coding RNA is filed under the name Hevea brasiliensis (rubber tree). The record is from RNAcentral. Lineage: Eukaryota; Viridiplantae; Streptophyta; Magnoliopsida; Malpighiales; Euphorbiaceae.
UUGCCCGUUUAUAUAAUAUUGCCUUGGAAGCUAUUGACGAUGAGAAAAAGAAUGUUUAAAGGCAGCCUACAUUAAUAGUUGUAUACAUACCCUAUUUCUUUCUUUUAGCAACCCUUUGCUCUUUUGCCUCAUAUAUAAAAAUACAAACAUAAUUAAAUCAUUCUUUUUUGUGAUUUUUUUUAUAUGUAAUUUGAGAAGUGUAAGAUGUUGGGUAUAUAAAAUAAUCCAAAGGGGUGUACUGUA